This 952-nucleotide long non-coding RNA is filed under the name Chlamydomonas reinhardtii. Its description in RNAcentral is "long non-coding RNA (CREI_LNC000655)". Lineage: Eukaryota; Viridiplantae; Chlorophyta; Chlorophyceae; Chlamydomonadales; Chlamydomonadaceae. The record is from RNAcentral.
GCGCACGUCCUAUUCACCGAAAGGCAACAAAACUAAAUCCCGCAAAUCUGGAGUACCCUGUGGGCAUCACUGGGCAUCACGUCUACGAGCGCAACCACUGCUCCUCGCCACAUGCGCCCAAACGUCCUCCUAACGUGCAUUCGUUCUGUGCUCUUGCCAACCCAACUACCCCGUGACUAGUAUGUAUGUCCCAACUUGCACUGCGCCCGCCAUACCACGGCAUCUCUCAACCAACGUCCGUGCAUGCGCGGCCCCGUCCUGGCCCGCUCUCGCGCCCAACAGACAGCUAGCGAGCCUACCCCCUCGGCGCCCGCUCCGCCCUAGAAUCCCCGCCACGUCUCCUCGAUGAUGGUGCACUCAACUCUCGCGCUCGAUGACAAUUCUUCUUCCUUCUUCUCUGCUCAGCGGCACCCAGGGCUGCCGGCUUUGUGCGCCCAUGGGCGGCAAGACCCACGACCGGCAGCCCUGAGGCCCCGUGCACUAUCUGCAUGCUUGGCCAUGCCUCCUGCACCACCCCUCAUUGAGCACACGCACUACCUGUGGCGGGCCUCUCCUGCAGGCGCGUCCAUCGGGUACUCCCCCUCCCUUACGGGGAACGACGAAACACAUCAACACCGACGCACCCCCCAAACACCUCGCCAGUGCAACCCCUGUACCGUGGCGUGCCCCUCGCGGCCAGCCGCGUCACGGCCCCCUAAAGCUGGGCGGGCAGAGAGCCUGCCCACCCGUCAGGGACAUGACACGCACGCGGCAUGGGCUGGGCGUCGCACCACCAAUGCUCCACGACACACAAACACAAAAGGACCUUGUGAGCCGCAAGCUUUAUGGGUCUUUCGAAUUCACCGUCCACAGGUCAUAAAAGGUAACGCGUCAACGGCCCAGUAUCGGCCUGCAGAUUGGUGGUCCAACAAGUACACAUGGCACGUGUCCUGUCUCGAGCAUACGAACACCC